Molecule: ribosomal RNA, 887 nt
Filed under: uncultured Methanosaeta sp.
Lineage: Archaea; Methanobacteriati; Methanobacteriota; Methanomicrobia; Methanotrichales; Methanotrichaceae
Description: bacterial SSU rRNA
Rfam family: Archaeal small subunit ribosomal RNA
Source: RNAcentral
CAGAGGUACUGCUAUCGAGAKYCGACUAAGCCAUGCGAGUUGAAUGUUCUUCGUGAACAUGGCGGACUGCUCAGUAACACGUGGACAACCUACCCUUGGGUCCGGCAUAAUCCUGGGAAACUGGGAAUAAUUCCGGAUAGGUCACCGAUGCUGGAAUGCGCGGUGGCCGAAAGCUCCGGCGCCCGAGGAUGGGUCUGCGGCCUAUCAGGGUUGUAGUGGGUGUAACGUACCUACUAGCCUACGACGGGUACGGGUUGUGAGAGCAAGAGCCCGGAGAUGGAUUCUGAGACACGAAUCCAGGCCCUACGGGGUGCAGCAGGCGCGAAAACUUUACAAUGCGGGAAACCGUGAUAAGGGGAUCUCGAGUGCCAGCAUAUAAUGUUGGCUGUCCAGAUGCCUAAAAAGCAUCUGUUAGCAAGGGCCGGGCAAGACCGGUGCCAGCCGCCGCGGUAACACCGGCGGCCCGAGUGGUAACCGCUAUUAUUGGGUCUAAAGGGUCUGUAGCCGGCCAGGUAAGUCCCUUGGGAAAUCUGGCAGCUCAACUGUCAGGCUGCUAGGGGAUACUGUUUGGCUUGGGACCGGGAGAGGUGAGAGGUACCUUGGGGGUAGGGGUGAAAUCUUGUGAUCCUCGAGGGACCACCAGUGGCGAAGGCGUCUCACCAGAACGGGUCCGACGGUAAGGGACGAAAGCUAGGGGCACGAACCGGAUUAGAUACCCGGGUAGUCCUAGCCGUAAACGAUGCUCGCUAGGUGUCAGUCACGGUGCGACCGUGAUUGGUGCCGUAGGGAAGCCGUGAAGCGAGCCACCUGGGAAGUAUGGCCGCAAGGCUGAAACUUAAAGSAAUUGGCGGGSSAGCACUACAACGGGUGGAGCCUGCGGUUUAUUG